ACUGUGAGUGUUACGCCCAAAUUUGCAGCGGUGCUCUAAUGCUCAGUAUGGCAAACGAAGUGAAUUGACACUGUUCACAGAAUGUAUAAAGUGACAUAGAAAUACAAAAUCCUAAGAGACGUUUAUGAUGAUGAUGCCUUUGAUCUUUGUACCUUUUCCAUUCUAAAAUAAAAAUAUUGUGCGGUAGAGUGGUGAAGUGGGAUUGCAUGUUCUGGGGAGUGCCUCUGAAGAAAAUAAAUACACUCGGCCCUGUUACAGGUUCAGAUAACAUAUGGUAAACAAAAAGUACACUGAAUAACUAGAGUAAAACGAACUAUUGAAUAACUAACUGUAUCGAUCGUGAACUGUCAUGGAGGUCAUGUAGUGUAUUACCAUGAAAUGAAGCUGUCACGCGUGUAAAAGUAAAUGGAGGUUGCAUGAAACGCUGGAUGCUAAGCAUUGUGUUGGUCAAAUGUAAGUAACUUUUUCCUUUUUUUUUCUCUCCUCACACCACCCCUGUUUCUCUUUCUGGAUUGCUGCUGCACCUGCGUGGACUCGUUGCUACAAUGGUUCAAAUUCAUCCUUUCACUGGACUGCUUUUUGGCUGUAUUCUGUCGAUAUCUUCAACACUGGAAAUGAUGGAAAUGUGUUGUUUACAAAGUAGCUCAACAGAAGAACCUUGAAGGAUAUGUGGGGUUUGCAAAUCUUCCCAAUCAAGUUUACCGGAAGUCUGUGAAGAGAGGAUUUGAAUUCACACUCAUGGUAGUAGGUAAGUUUGUGGUUUUUUUUUGUUUUGAGUGGUGAUCCUUUGAAGUAUAUUGACAUGGUUCUUAAAAUGAUGUAAGUAUGUUUUGCACAAUUGCAUGAGAAUAUAUGGAUCUUCCUCUUCUAGACUGUAGGGUCUAAGAAAAAAGCUUGGUGUGAAUCUAGUCUAAAGUGUGACUUGCAAGUAUCGUAUCAGUACAAGUAAUUUGAACUUGGAUUUUCAUUUGAAUAAAAAAAAAUUGAACUGCUUUUACA
This 999-nucleotide long non-coding RNA is filed under the name Calidris pygmaea (Spoon-billed sandpiper). RNAcentral describes it as "lncRNA (ENSCPGG00000004752.1)". The record is from RNAcentral. Lineage: Eukaryota; Metazoa; Chordata; Aves; Charadriiformes; Scolopacidae.